RNAcentral lists this ribosomal RNA (520 nucleotides) under uncultured bacterium. Its description in RNAcentral is "partial 16S ribosomal RNA". It matches the Rfam family "Bacterial small subunit ribosomal RNA", at positions 28 to 507 of the family's 1533-position model. The record is from RNAcentral.
GACGAACGCUGGCGGCGUGCCUAAUACAUGCAAGUCGAACGCACUCUCGUUUAGAUUGAAGGAGUUUGCUCCUGAUUGAUAAACAUUUGAGUGAGUGGCGGACGGGUGAGUAACACGUGGGUAACCUGCCCUAAAGUGGGGGAUAACAUUUGGAAACAGAUGCUAAUACCGCAUAAAACCUAACGCCGCAUGGUGUAGGGUUGAAAGAUGGUUUCGGCUAUCACUUUAGGAUGGACCCGCGGUGCAUUAGUUAGUUGGUGAGGUAAAGGCUCACCAAGACCGUGAUGCAUAGCCGACCUGAGAGGGUAAUCGGCCACACUGGGACUGAGACACGGCCCAGACUCCUACGGGAGGCAGCAGUAGGGAAUCUUCCACAAUGGACGAAAGUCUGAUGGAGCAACGCCGCGUGAGUGAAGAAGGUUUUCGGAUCGUAAAACUCUGUUGUUGGAGAAGAAUGUAUCUGAUAGUAACUGAUCAGGUAGUGACGGUAUCCAACCAGAAAGCCACGGCUAACUACGUG